CAGUCGCCGCGGUAAUACGAGGGGGGCAAGCGUUGUUCGGAAUUAUUAGGCGUAAAGGGUGCGUAGGCGGUUCAGCAAGUCUCGUGUGAAAUCUUCGGGCUCAACCCGAAGUCUGCACGGGAAACUACUGGGCUUGAGUAAUGGAGAGGUGAGUGGAAUUUCCGGUGUAGAGGUGAAAUUCGUAGAGAUGUGGAGGAAUACCGAUGGCGGAGGCAGCCCCCUGGGCCAAUACUGACGCUCAUGCACGAAAGCGUGGGGAGCAAACAGGAUUAGAUACCCCGGUAGUCCCUGUCUCUUAUAC
Molecule: ribosomal RNA, 301 nt
Filed under: uncultured bacterium
Lineage: Bacteria
Description: partial 16S ribosomal RNA
Rfam family: Bacterial small subunit ribosomal RNA
Source: RNAcentral